UACGGGGGGUGCGAGCGUUGUCCGGAAUCACUGGGCGUAAAGGGCGCGUAGGUGGUUUGAUAAGGGUGUGGUGAAAGUCCGGGGCUCAACCCCGGAUCUGCCGUGCCGACUGUCAAACCCGAGGACUGUAGAGGCAGACGGAAUUCCGGGUGUAGCGGUGGAAUGCGUAGAGAUCCGGAGGAAGACCGGUGGCGAAGGCGGUCUGCUGGGCAGUUUCUGACACUGAGGCGCGACAGCGUGGGGAGCAAACAGG
Molecule: ribosomal RNA, 253 nt
Filed under: uncultured bacterium
Lineage: Bacteria
Description: partial 16S ribosomal RNA
Rfam family: Bacterial small subunit ribosomal RNA
Source: RNAcentral